RNAcentral lists this ribosomal RNA (300 nucleotides) under uncultured Bacillus sp. Its description in RNAcentral is "bacterial SSU rRNA". The stretch from base 51 to 300 matches the Rfam family "Bacterial small subunit ribosomal RNA", at positions 547 to 795 of the family's 1533-position model. The record is from RNAcentral. Lineage: Bacteria; Bacillati; Bacillota; Bacilli; Caryophanales; Bacillaceae.
CUAGAGACGGGGCAGGAGCGGGGGUAAGGCGGAGGGGGCGAGCGGGGGGCGGAGUGAGUGGGCGUAAAACGGUCGGAGGGGGCCACGGCAAGUCGGAUGUGAAAGCGCCCGGGGCAACUGGGAGGGGUCAUGCGAUACUGGCGGGCGCGAGGCCGGUAGGGGGUAGCGGAAUUCCGGGUGUAGUGGUGGAAUGCGUAGAGAGCCGGAGGAACACCAGUGGCGAAGGCGGCGACCUGGACCGGUGCUGACACUGAGGAGCGAAAGCGUGGGGAGCGAUCCGGAUUAGAUACCCGAGUAGUC